RNAcentral lists this ribosomal RNA (854 nucleotides) under uncultured bacterium. RNAcentral describes it as "SSU rRNA". It matches the Rfam family "Bacterial small subunit ribosomal RNA", at positions 524 to 1381 of the family's 1533-position model. The record is from RNAcentral.
UACGCAGGUGGCAAGCGCUGCCCGGAUUUACUGAUCUUAAAGGAAGCGUAAGUGGAUAUUUAAGGGGGAUGUGAAAUACUCGCGAUCAACCUGGGGGCUGCAUUCCUAACUGGAUAUCUACAGUGCAGGAGAGGAAAGUAGAAUUCCUAGUGUAGCGGUGAAAUGCGUAGAGAUUAGGAAGAAUACCAGAGGCGAAGGCGACUUUCUGGACUGUAACUGACACUGAGGCUCGAAAGCGUGGGGAGCAAACAGGAUUAGAUACCCUGGUAGUUCACGCCGUAAACGAUGAAUACUAGGUGUAGGGGUUGUCAUGACCUCUGAGCCGCCGCUAACGCAUUAAGUAUUCCGCCUGGGGAGUACGGUCGCAAGAUUAUAUCUCAAAGGAAUUGACGGGGGCCCACACAAGCAGCGGAGCAUGUGGUUUAAUUUGAAUCAACGCGAAGAUCCUUACCUAGACUUGACAUCUCCUGAAUUACUCUAUAAUGGAGGAAGCCCUUCGGGGCAGGAAGACAGGUGGUGCAUGGUUGUCGUCAGCUCGUGUCGUGAGAUGUUGGGUUAAGUGCCGCAACGAGCGCAACCGUUAUUGUUAGUUGUUUCCAUUAAGUUGAGCUCUCUAGCGAGUCUUCCCGGGUUAUCCGGGAGGAAGGUGGGGAUGACGUCAACUCAUCAUGUUCUUUAUGUUUAGGGCUCCACACGUGCUUCAAUGGCUGGUUCAGAGAGAUUCUAAACCGCGAGGUGGAACCAAUCUUUAAAACCAGUCUCAGUUUGGAUUGUAGGCUGAAACUUGCGUACAUGAAGCUGGAGUUGGUAGUAAUCGAGAAUCAGAAUGUCGCGGUGAAUUCGUUCCCGGGCCU